CAUUUUAAAUUGCAUCUUUUUUGGCUUGGGAAACUGAAAAAAUAAUUUGGGAGACGGCUCGAAGGUUUAGGGAAAGAAGAGAAAGGUUGAGUUUUUAAUUGAUAUUCCAUUUUUCAAUAAUGGUUUAUUCAUUCUUUUUCCUAUUGUGCUUUUUUCAUAAUUUUACAUCAUCAUGAUUCCCUGAUGUGUAGUUAUUCCUAACGUUGUUGACACUACUAUUCUUAUUCAUGAAUUUCAAGUCAUCCUAAACAUUUAUUUUGUUGUUUCUUUCAAAUAUGAUAUGUUCUUAUUUGAUAUUUACUCUCAUUAACAUAGUUGGUUCAAAUAUGGUAUAUGCUCAAUAUAUGAGGUUCUUUCUAAUUUAGUUAAAAUUUUGAAAGUAGUCUGUCUUUAUAUUGGAAAAGUUUUGUAGGGAAGGCACAUGUAUUCUUCUUUCUUUUUUACCAUUGUUUUAUCUUUUGAGUCCAUUUGUUAUGUUGAAGGGGAGAACUAUGUUGAAGGGGAGGAAGUGUCCAAUCGUGCAACUGUUGAAAGCAAACAGAAAGAAGUGCUCAAGGUAAUUGUCACCGAGGUUUUGGAUGGUGACAAGUUUUAUGUUCAGACAAUUCCGGACCAAACAGCCACUUCUCUACAGCAGCAACUAGAGACUUUGAAUCUUCAAGAAGUCCCUUUAAUCUGUGGUUUUAGUCCUAAAAAAGGUAGGCUAUGCUACUAUGGCUAUUGGAGCGCCUUGGAUUUUUCAUUCUAUAAAGCAAUUGGUUGAACCAUUACUCUUUAGUUGUCAUGUCGUUCCAUUGAUGCUUACAGAUUUCAAGGAGUUGAGGAUAACAAUCGAUGAGGCUUUGAUCAGUUUGGAGUCAUCUAAGAGUGUUGUGGUGCUUGGAGGAGGGUGAUAUCUCUUUUUCUUAUUAUUACAUAUACUUUCUGUUUUAUGAUUAAGAACAAUGUUCAUAACGGGUUUUGUAAUAUGAAUGAGAACAAUAUGUUUCUAUGUUGUAAGUAUGUAAUGACCAACUAUAUGUAUAUGUUUCAAUGAUAUAUAUGCAAUUUGUUAGUUAUUUGAUUGAAAA
Cucumis sativus (cucumber) is the source of this 1070-nucleotide long non-coding RNA. RefSeq lists it as uncharacterized. NCBI's taxonomy places the organism in Eukaryota, Viridiplantae, Streptophyta, Magnoliopsida, Cucurbitales, Cucurbitaceae. The transcript has 4 exons. The record is from RefSeq and is a predicted model, not a curated record.